GGGGAUGUAGCUUAGUGACAGAGUGCUUGCCUAGCAAGCCCUGUGUGAGGCCCAGGGUUUGAUCCCCAGCACCCCCC
Molecule: transfer RNA, 77 nt
Filed under: Ictidomys tridecemlineatus (thirteen-lined ground squirrel)
Lineage: Eukaryota; Metazoa; Chordata; Mammalia; Rodentia; Sciuridae
Description: Spermophilus tridecemlineatus (thirteen-lined ground squirrel) tRNA
Rfam family: tRNA
About the family: Transfer RNA (tRNA) molecules are approximately 80 nucleotides in length. Their secondary structure includes four short double-helical elements and three loops (D, anti-codon, and T loops).
Source: Rfam by way of RNAcentral